AUACGUAGGGGGCGAGCGUUGUCCGGAAUGAUUGGGCGUAAAGGGCGCGUAGGCGGCCCGGUAAGUCUGGCGUGAAAGUCCUGUUUUUAAGAUGGGAAUUGCUUUGGAUACUGUCGGGCUUGAGUGCAGGAGAGGUAAGUGGAAUUCCCAGUGUAGCGGUGAAAUGCGUAGAGAUUGGGAGGAACACCAGUGGCGAAGGCGACUUACUGGACUGUAACUGACGCUGAGGCGCGAAAGUGUGGGGAGCAAACAGGAUUAGAUACCCUGGUAGUCCACACUGUAAACGAUGAAUGCUAGGUGUAGGGGGUAUCGACCCCUUCUGUGCCGCAGUCAACACAAUAAGCAUUCCGCCUGGGGAGUACGGCCGCAAGGUUGAAACUCAAAGGAAUUGACGGGG
Molecule: ribosomal RNA, 397 nt
Filed under: uncultured bacterium
Lineage: Bacteria
Description: partial 16S ribosomal RNA
Rfam family: Bacterial small subunit ribosomal RNA
Source: RNAcentral